AAAAAUUUAGUUAAUAUAUAACAUUAGCUUGUCAAGCUAAAAUUAAUUAAAUAAAAAAAAAUUAAUUUUUA
RNAcentral lists this transfer RNA (71 nucleotides) under Phyllobrotica quadrimaculata. RNAcentral's name for it is "tRNA-Asp". The record is from RNAcentral. Lineage: Eukaryota; Metazoa; Arthropoda; Insecta; Coleoptera; Chrysomelidae.